This 336-nucleotide unclassified non-coding RNA is filed under the name soil metagenome. RNAcentral describes it as "partial contains 5.8S ribosomal RNA, internal transcribed spacer 2, and large subunit ribosomal RNA". The stretch from base 1 to 120 matches the Rfam family "5.8S ribosomal RNA", at positions 35 to 154 of the family's 154-position model. The record is from RNAcentral.
GAUGAAGAACGUAGUGAAAUGCGAUAAGUAGUGUGAAUUGCAGAAUUCAGUGAAUCAUCGAAUCUUUGAACGCACAUUGCGCCCGCCAGUAUUCUGGCGGGCAUGCCUGUUCGAGCGUCAUUUCAACCAUCAAGCCCCAGGCUUGUGUUGGGGACCUGCGGCUGCCGCAGGCCCUGAAAACCAGUGGCGGGCUCGCUGUCACACCGGGCGUAGUAGAUUUUAUCUCGCUCAGGGCGUGCUGCGGGUUCCGGCCGUUAAAAAGCCUUUUUUACCCAAGGUUGACCUCGGAUCAGGUAGGAAGACCCGCUGAACUUAAGCAUAUCAAUAAGCGGAGGA